This 933-nucleotide ribosomal RNA is filed under the name Ephemerocybe subimpatiens. Its description in RNAcentral is "LSU rRNA". It matches the Rfam family "Eukaryotic large subunit ribosomal RNA", at positions 40 to 960 of the family's 3401-position model. Lineage: Eukaryota; Fungi; Basidiomycota; Agaricomycetes; Agaricales; Psathyrellaceae. The record is from RNAcentral.
GCAACAAUAAGCGGAGGAAAAGAAACUAACAAGGAUUCCCCUAGUAACUGCGAGUGAAGCGGGAAAAGCUCAAAUUUAAAAUCUGGUGGUCUUUGGCCAUCCGAGUUGUAAUCUAGAGAAGUGUUACCCGCGUCGGACCGUGUACAAGUCUCCUGGAAUGGAGCGUCAUAGAGGGUGAGAAUCCCGUCUUUGACACGGACCCCCGAUGCUUUGUGGUGCGCUCUCAACGAGUCGAGUUGUUUGGGAAUGCAGCUCAAAAUGGGUGGUAAAUUCCAUCUAAAGCUAAAUAUUGGCGAGAGACCGAUAGCGAACAAGUACCGUGAGGGAAAGAUGAAAAGAACUUUGGAAAGAGAGUUAAACAGUACGUGAAAUUGCUGAAAGGGAAACGCUUGAAGUCAGUCGCGUUGGCCGGAAAUCAGCCUUCCUUUUGGUUGGUGUACUUUCUGGUUGACGGGCCAGCAUCAGUUUUGACCGGUGGAAAAAGUUGUAGGGAAUGUGGCAUCUUCGGGUGUGUUAUAGCCUUGCUUCGUAUACAUCGGUUGGGACUGAGGAACUCAGCACGCCGCAAGGCCGGGGUUCGCCCACGUUCGUGCUUAGGAUGCUGGCAUAAUGGCUUUAAUCGACCCGUCUUGAAACACGGACCAAGGAGUCUAACAUGCCUGCGAGUGUUUGGGUGGAAAACCCGAGCGCGUAAUGAAAGUGAAAGUCGAGAUCCUUGUCAUGGGGAGCAUCGACGCCCGGACCAGACGUUUUCUGACGGUUCUGCGGUAGAGCAUGUAUGUUGGGACCCGAAAGAUGGUGAACUAUGCCUGAAUAGGGUGAAGCCAGAGGAAACUCUGGUGGAGGCUCGUAGCGAUUCUGACGUGCAAAUCGAUCGUCAAAUUUGGGUAUAGGGGCGAAAGACUAAUCGAACCAUCUAGUAGCUGGUUCUGC